UACGACGGGGGCUAGCGUUGCUCGGAAUGACUGGGCGUAAAGGGCGUGUAGGCGGUUUACACAGUCAGAUGUGACAUCCCCGGGCUUAACCUUGGAGCUGCAUUUGAUACGUGUAGACUAGAGUGUGAGAGAGGGUUGUGGAAUUCCCAGUGUAGAGGUGAAAUUCGUAGAUAUUGGGAAGAACACCGGUGGCGAAGGCGGCAACCUGGCUCAUUACUGACGCUGAGGCGCAAAAGCGUGGGGAGCAAACAGG
RNAcentral lists this ribosomal RNA (253 nucleotides) under uncultured bacterium. RNAcentral describes it as "partial 16S ribosomal RNA". It matches the Rfam family "Bacterial small subunit ribosomal RNA", at positions 524 to 776 of the family's 1533-position model. The record is from RNAcentral.